Molecule: ribosomal RNA, 429 nt
Filed under: uncultured Pseudomonas sp.
Lineage: Bacteria; Pseudomonadati; Pseudomonadota; Gammaproteobacteria; Pseudomonadales; Pseudomonadaceae
Description: bacterial SSU rRNA
Rfam family: Bacterial small subunit ribosomal RNA
Source: RNAcentral
AAGCAACGCGAAGAACCUUACCAGGCCUUGACGUGCAGAGAACUUUCCAGAGAUGGAUUGGUGCCUUCGGGAACUCUGACACAGGUGCUGCAUGGCUGUCGUCAGCUCGUGUCGUGAGAUGUUGGGUUAAGUCCCGUAACGAGCGCAACCCUUGUCCUUAGUUACCAGCACGUUAUGUGGGCACUCUAAGGAGACUGCCGGUGACAAACCGGAGGAAGGUGGGGAUGACGUCAAGUCAUCAUGGCCCCUACGGCCUGGGCUACACACGUGCUACAAUGGUCGGUACAAAGGGUUGCCAAGCCGCGAGGUGGAGCUAAUCCCAUAAAACCGAUCGUAGUCCGGAUCGCAGUCUGCAACUCGACUGCGUGAAGUCGGAAUCGCUAGUAAUCGUGAAUCAGAAUGUCACGGUGAAUACGGUUCCCGGGCCUU